AAUAGAUACCCGGGUAGUCCACGCCGUAAACGAUGUCGACUUGGAGGUUGUGCCCUUGAGGCGUGGCUUCCGGAGCUAACGCGUUAAGUCGACCGCCUGGGGAGUACGGCCGCAAGGUUAAAACUCAAAUGAAUUGACGGGGGCCCGCACAAGCGGUGGAGCAUGUGGUUUAAUUCGAUGCAACGCGAAGAACCUUACCUACUCUUGACAUCCAGAGAACUUAGCAGAGAUGCUUUGGUGCCUUCGGGAACUCUGAGACAGGUGCUGCAUGGCUGUCGUCAGCUCGUGUUGUGAAAUGUUGGGUUAAGUCCCGCAACGAGCGCAACCCUUAUCCUUUGUUGCCAGCGGUUAGGCCGGGAACUCAAAGGAGACUGCCAGUGAUAAACUGGAGGAAGGUGGGGAUGACGUCAAGUCAUCAUGGCCCUUACGAGUAGGGCUACACACGUGCUACAAUGGCAUAUACAAAAGAGAAGCGACCUCGCGAGAGCAAGCGGACCUCAUAAAAGUAUGUCGUAGUCCGGA
RNAcentral lists this ribosomal RNA (522 nucleotides) under uncultured bacterium. RNAcentral's name for it is "bacterial SSU rRNA". It matches the Rfam family "Bacterial small subunit ribosomal RNA", at positions 777 to 1297 of the family's 1533-position model. The record is from RNAcentral.